Mustela lutreola (European mink) is the source of this 383-nucleotide long non-coding RNA. RefSeq lists it as uncharacterized. The transcript has 3 exons. NCBI's taxonomy places the organism in Eukaryota, Metazoa, Chordata, Mammalia, Carnivora, Mustelidae. The record is from RefSeq and is a predicted model, not a curated record.
AUGCGGGGCUCGAUCCCAGGACCCUCAGAUCAUGACCUGAGCCAAAGGCAGAGGUCUUAACCCACUGAGUCACCCAGGCACCCCAAGGGUUUUUGCCUGUUCUAUGAACGGAAUCAUACCAGAUGCACCCUUUUGGGCCUGUCUUCUUUCACCAAGCAAAAUGCAUUUAGUUCAUCCAUGCUAUUGUGUAAAGCAGUGGUUUCUUCCUGGCUGUCCGGGCCUAACACUCUGCUGUGUGCCUGUAGGACAGCUUGUCACUCACCACGAGGGGCAUCUGGCUGUUUCCAGUUAGGCUGGGUCAUGUAAGCAUUGUCAGUGAUGACUACGUUUGGGAGAUGAUUAUUCUUCUGUGAAUAAUCACGACUUCAAAAUCUGUAUGGCCA